AUGGAAAAAAAAAAGAGAGAGAGACUCAUGCUAUCCAAAGAAGGCUGUGUGAACAGGCUGGAUCAGACACUUUGGAAGCCAUGGGUUUCGUUCUGGAGGGAGAAGAGGAUGAACAUUCUGAGGCUUGCUAGAGAUGUCCAGGAGGCUCAAGACUGGCCAGUCAGAAGCAGGAAUCAGUCCAUCGGGCAGGCCUUCCUAGGAAGCCAUUGUUUUUCCAACUAAUGAGACAAGAGAACCAGCAGCACCCCCUCCUGGGAUGAAGGCUCCACCAGAGAAUGGAGGAGGGAGUCAGAAGGAGCUGAUCUUCAGCGCCUGCCGCUCAGGAGCAGCUGCAGCUGCUGCGUCCUACUGUAAAAGACAAGCUCUUCUCUAGUGAAGCCGCUUGGAAUCCAUUUCCGUUCCAGCAGCUAACUGAGCCUGAGACAGUAAAAGCAGGAAAAGUUAUUUGUGGGGAUGGCACAGCAUGUGCUAACCCACUCUGAAAUCCAGAAGGAAGAUACUGUUCCCACUUUGCACAUAAGGAAGAGAAACAACCAAGAAGAGACGCUUGGCCCAAGGUCACACAGGAAUCCAGGGGCAAAGGCCUUAUCUAUUGCUGGGUAACGAAUUGCCACUAAUGAAGUGGGUUAAUCAAUGCACAGUUAUUAGGUCAUAGUUUCCUUGGGUUAAGAAACCCAGCACAGGUCCUGCA
RNAcentral lists this long non-coding RNA (691 nucleotides) under Meriones unguiculatus (Mongolian gerbil). Its description in RNAcentral is "lncRNA (ENSMUGG00000020824.1)". Lineage: Eukaryota; Metazoa; Chordata; Mammalia; Rodentia; Muridae. The record is from RNAcentral.